This 252-nucleotide ribosomal RNA is filed under the name uncultured bacterium. RNAcentral describes it as "partial 16S ribosomal RNA". It matches the Rfam family "Bacterial small subunit ribosomal RNA", at positions 524 to 775 of the family's 1533-position model. The record is from RNAcentral.
UACGGAGGGUGCAAGCGUUGCUCGGAAUUAUUGGGCGUAAAGGGUAGGUAGGUGGUCUUAUUUGUCUGGGGUGAAAUCCUUGAGCUUAACUCAAGAAGUGCCUCAGAAACGGUGAGACUAGAGUCCUAGAGAGGGUCGUGGAAUUCCCGGUGUAGCGGUGAAAUGCGUAGAGAUCGGGAGGAACACCAGAGGCGAAGGCGGCGACCUGGAUAGGUACUGACACUAAACUACGAAAGCGUGGGGAGCAAACAG